Long non-coding RNA from Peromyscus eremicus (cactus mouse), 729 nucleotides. RefSeq lists it as uncharacterized. NCBI's taxonomy places the organism in Eukaryota, Metazoa, Chordata, Mammalia, Rodentia, Cricetidae. The record is from RefSeq and is a predicted model, not a curated record. The transcript has 3 exons.
UCCCCGGCCCGCCGGAACCAAUGAACGGCCAUCUCUGGUCCAGCUCCUUCCGUAGCGUCCAAUCAGCUCGCUCUCUGCUCGGUCGACCUGUUAGCUCCUCGCCUAGAGCGCCACCGCCCCUCAUCCGCCUUCGCCAAUCGCCUUAGACCUCGAGAGCGUCCCACCCGCCUCCCUCGAUCCGGGCCCGCCCCCAAGCCGCGGUCGGGAGCGGUCUCCGCCCCGCUGGAGAGCUUGUAGUUUUUGGGACCACUGCCCAAAGUGAACCCGCCGAGACUCUCUGGUUGACUUCUGCUGAGGCAAGGGGGAUUGGAUGAUUUUGCUCAUGAGCCUCACCUACGUAGGGACAGGACUGAUGGUGAUUGUGAAAAUCAGGACCCAAGGUGAACAGUCAAUAAAAAGAAACAGGAAUUGACACACAGAGAAAAAGAAAUAUGAAGAGUCACACCCCACAAUUUCAUCUUGUAAAUGAGCUCAGGAAAUGAGAACGGAGGGAAAGCCCCUGGGGCUGGCGGCCUGCACUCCUGUCCCUGCAGACAGACAUCUGGGUUUUAAUGACAUGAUAUGGCAAGAAUCAUUUGGUACCAUCAUUGCUGUUAAAUGUCUUUCAGGCAUUAAUAAAACAUAAGAGACUUGCUUAAAAUGGCAUUUAUACUGGAAACCUUGCCGUGAUGGUAUGUAAUGAAUCACUGGUGCGCUUUAUCAGUGGCUGUGUUUUUGGCAGGAUAGCUG